GAGCCAGAAUAAACCUCUGCUUUAUUUCGACUUGACAGGAGUGUGUGUGUGUGUGUGUGUGUGUGUGUGUGUGUGUGUGUGUGUGUGUGUGUGUGUGUGUGUGUGUGUGUGUGUGUGUGUGACUGAGGACACACACUAAACAGCAGUGGUAAGGACAAGACCUGUCUCUGUUAAAGAUUAACCAGCCACUACAAUGAGUGAUCAAUACACCUGACCAGUCCCUCUGACCAAUAACCCUUACCAGUCCUACAGCAAAGCAAUAGAUAGGCAUGAUCACUUCUGAUAAAUAAAAAAACACAAACACAAAUUGUCAUAAAUCAAAUGCACUUGAUGAAGUUCUGUGAAACUUAAAUGUGUGUCUUCUGUGAAAUGUACUGAAUCCAUCAGAAUUCAGGUUACAGGCAUGACAAGAAAUAAAAAAAUAAAUAAAUAGAUAUUAUAACAAAAAAAACUAUCUUGGCAUUGAUUGUCUUCAGAUCUUCCCACUGAAUCUUAACAAUACUCGUAUAUAUAUAUAUAUUCACAUUCUACCUACAUAGACAUGGUCUAUUUAUGAAUAUACUUCUAUUUAUCUUUUCACAUUUAGUUUAGACUCUUCACAUUCUUUAAUACACAAUAAUCUGAUUAUUUCAUGUUUCAUUGCACAUUUGCCAUAGGCCCCCCCCAUAUCAUACUUCGCACAACACAUUCCCACCCAAAGGAAGGUCACAGAAAAAGAAUGGACAAAGCGUGUGAAGAACCUAUCACUGAUACAGACAUGAAGUACAGUUCCCCCGUGACCAGGGCUGAGGACACUUCACCAUCCUACUGACUGGCUGUAUAAAGAGGCCUAUGAUGAAUUCUAAACAGUGUCGGGGGGGUGUGUCUAUGUGAUUCCUUGACUUAUGUUUCACAGGAGUUAUGGAAAGGAGUUUCGUUUUCUGAUAAUCCGUUUAAACAUUCCUACAGCUACACAAACCAGCUAGAACUCGACAGUCAGACACACCUCUCACACACACACACACACACACCUCUCACACACAGACACCUCACACACACACACCUCUCUCACACACACCUCUCACACACACACCUCACACACACACACACCUCACACACACCUCUCACACACACACACCUCACCUCUCACACACACACACACACACCUCUCACACACACACACCUCUCACACACAGACACCUCACACACACAGACACCUCACACACACACACACACACACACACCUCACACACACACACCUCACACACACCUCUCACACACACACCUCUCACACACACACACACACACCUCUCACACACACACACCUCUGGCCCUACACAUACAGCACACAAGUCAAUCUAUCCUUGCACUCUGUGCACACAAGCACACGUGUAGACCCACGCUUCCACACAAAAACAGAGUUCUUAUUCUCACUCAUUAUCUUCAUCUUCCUCAUCUUCAGAUCACUUAACUCGUUGGCCUUUCCUAAUCGAUUCAACACAGAAUAAUGUUCAGCAUGACGAAGAACGCUUCUCCUCGUUCAGUCACUUCUCUUCUCUUCCGUCAACGUGUGAAGCAUUCCUCCUUCUUUUACCAAAUCUUUUUUUUUUUUUUUUCUGCUUUCCUAACCAUUUGUCUUAAUUUGUUUGAUAAUUCUGUGAACACUGACACACAGCAAAGGUCAGAAACAGUAAUGAACAACACUCAACCAUGAGAGGCAAGUGCAGCAAAUCAUGCAAGCACACAUCCAGCCAUCCACACCUUCUCUUUCUCUCACACACACUCACACACACACUCAUAACUCAAGUUACGUUACAACUGCACGAACCGUCCUACAGCUAAAGACUGAGCUACUACACUGUAUAUCUGGAUGGUGCACUGAGGGUGUCACACUACGGCCAUCGCACAAGAACUACACACUGUCCCCCACUCAUGACUAACCCAGAUAGAAGAACAGAGAGAGAGAGAGAGAGAGAGAGAGAGAGAGACAGACAAGAGAAGGGGAGCAGAAAGAGAGCACAACAUUUUUUACAACAGGUUACGGGUUAUCCUAGAAACCCAUAGACUAAUCCUUGACUAAUCUCAGACUAAGCUCAGACUAACAGUACUGGGACACAAACCAAUGGAGAAUGAGCUGACUUCCACAAGCCUCAAUGUGAGAGUCGACUACACACCAACUACCUGACAGGGACGUGACCUCACAGGACGUGACCGCACAGUACAUGACCUCACAGGAUAUGACCUCAUAUACCUUGACUUCAUUAGGUGUCAGUAUAAGCUUUUUUAUUCUGGAAACGGAAUGCUCAGCGAAUCUCCUGAGAGAGCGGAGAACAGCAUGGCCCAGCAAAGGGUUCAGAGUUCAGAGCUGAGGGAUCAGGAAAGACAACAAUACAUUUCUGCACGUUUCUUCUCUACGCCACUAGGGGGUGCUGUUCUUGACUUGGAUACUUGAUUUUUUGCAUUUUUCUCCCUCAGAUGUGCCUUCUACAGAGCACCAUACUGCCUCCACAGCUUCCACAGCAAGAGAAAAACUGUUCUAGGUAGCAGAAGGCAGACAUUUUGUUCCCCAGGGCAUUUGGUAGACCCUAACCAUCAUCUCCGCGAGACAGCGCAUUGUGUGCCGGGGCUCCUAGCCAAAGCAGCUGAAGCAACACAGACCUGGAUCCAUGUCUCGGGCGCUAGAACUAGAACAAAAACAAGAACUAUGACUAGAACUGGAACUAUGACUAAGACUAGAACUAUGACUAUGACUCGGUAGAAGUCAUGGCAGAAUUAUGUAAAGGCAAUCUGGAUUUCAUCUGUACUUUACUGGAUUCAUUUUCAGGGCCUGUCAGGCAGGCAUUCCCUGCUACCCUCACAAAUGCUAAUCGCUAAUCGCUACGCUGCCUCUCCGAGCACCUCCAGCAUGUCAGGACGGGGUCUGACAACACUUACACACAGAGAGAGACACAGACACACACCGCUACUGAGAGACACGGGAGGACUGGACACAACAGGCUGACUUAACGCAGCCACCUGAGACAUAGAGUGAGUGACACAGAGAAAGAGGGAGGGAGGGAUGGAUAGAGAGAGGGAAAUGGCAGGAGAGGAGGGAGGGAGGGAGGGAGGGAGGGAGGGGUAGGGUGAGGGUGUCCGCAGGCUGAGGCUUGAGGCCUCCUCCUUGCCUUGCCCAACAGGAGCCCACCCCCAACCCUCAUACAGAGUUCUCACACACACACAGCAUGGCGCGCGCAAGGGGCGACCAGGGCCUAUGACAAGCCUGCAUCCCCGGCCUCGCCUGCAGCUGGCUCCCCGGUCGGGGUGGCCUCAGCCGGGCCCUUCUCAUCGCUGGUGCCGGAGGGUGCCGGCUCGUCUGGGGCCCUCUUGGGUUUGUUGGCGCGGCGACCCUUGCGUUUGGGUUUGGCCCUUGGGGAGCAGCCUCUGGUGGGGGAGGGGCUGCUGCUGCUGUGUCUCCUAGCGCCCCCCUCAGGACUGGAGGGCCGUGAGCCCCCGCCCACCGUCCCGUCGUCCUCCGAGCUGAAGUCAGAGCUGUCGGACGGACUGACCCCUCCGGGGCUGGAGGUGGGCAAGGAGAU
Molecule: long non-coding RNA, 3554 nt
Organism: Clupea harengus (Atlantic herring)
Lineage: Eukaryota; Metazoa; Chordata; Actinopteri; Clupeiformes; Clupeidae
Source: Ensembl